RNAcentral lists this ribosomal RNA (492 nucleotides) under uncultured bacterium. RNAcentral describes it as "partial 16S ribosomal RNA". It matches the Rfam family "Bacterial small subunit ribosomal RNA", at positions 29 to 507 of the family's 1533-position model. The record is from RNAcentral.
AGUGAACGCUGGCGGUAGGCCUAACACAUGCAAGUCGAACGGCAGCACAGUAAGAGCUUGCUCUUACGGGUGGCGAGUGGCGGACGGGUGAGGAAUACAUCGGAAUCUACUUUUUCGUGGGGGAUAACGUAGGGAAACUUACCCUAUUACCCCUUACUACCUACGGUUUAAAUCAGGGGUUCUUCGGACUUUCCCCGUUUUAUUGACCCGAUUUCGGAUUAGCUAGUUGGCGGGGUAAAGGCCCACCAAGGCGACGAUCCGUAGCUGGUCUGAGAGGAUGAUCAGCCACACUGGAACUGAGACACGGUCCAGACUCCUACGGGAGGCAGAAGUGGGGAAUAUUGGACAAUGGGCGCAAGCCUGAUCCAGCCAUACCGCGUGGGUGAAGAAGGCCUUCGGGUUGUAAAGCCCUUUUGUUGGGAAAGAAAAGCAGCAGGUUAAUACCCCGCUGUUCUGACGGUAACCAAAGAAUAAGCACCGGCUAACUUCGUG